Molecule: long non-coding RNA, 3867 nt
Organism: Marmota monax (woodchuck)
Lineage: Eukaryota; Metazoa; Chordata; Mammalia; Rodentia; Sciuridae
Exons: 2
Source: RefSeq, a predicted model, not a curated record
AACCGCCAGCUUUUCUGUUCUCACCUUUUACACCUCUCUUAGCUGUGUUUUAAAGAACUUUGAUAAACUUUACCCCCCUUUGUUAAGCGAGAUUAGGGAAGCAGUGUUUUCUUUUCUUCCCGUAGUUGGCUUGAGCACGCCCACUGCAGAGGGAAAUGCCUGGGGUCUAAGAACUUUGAUAUCUCGCUUAAACUUUUCUCAAAACCCUGUCCUCGUUAUUAAAUUGGCAUUAAUUGGCUUUGGGGAUGGGAACCAAACUUUCAGUCAUAAAUUUUGACACCCCAGAGGGGACUUUAAAGGAGUCCCCACUCUGCCAUCUUGGGGAAGCCUAGCACUCGAAACAACUGCAAGCAGAGGAUGAACUUUUUGGGAGCUGACUACUGAAAAUUUGGGAGAUAUAGAAAAUGCCUGGUGCCUGGGGUCAAACCAAACCAGAGGAACUAAUCCUGUAAGUAAAAGCUUCUGCUUAGGCACUACCGGCCUCUGAUGACUGAUGAACCCCCAACAUCUUCAAGAGAACAGUUCACUCAGUGCUGAAGCUCACUACCAGGCACGAUGGAAUACAACGGACAUCAGACAGCGGGAGACAACGAGUUCGGAGAACCUCUCAAUCUACCAUUCUGGGUUCAUGAGUCUUUAUGUCCUUCUAAGCCUCCUCAUGGCCCUUGGCCUCUUUUCUGUCAGUCCCCCAACAUGGAACUUCUGCCAAAAAUUGACCUUUGCUUUAAUUUUUAUCUUCAUUCUGUUUUUAUUCGCUCUGAUUUUCUUCAGGUGCUGGUGAUGCCAACAUGGUGCCUAAGGACUUCUUCUUCCUACCUCCUUCUUCUCUGCAGUGGCGCGAAAAGUUCCUGCCCGUGUGAACUCUCCAGCUGGCGCCAAUCUCAAAUCUUGCUGGCGGAGAACCUUAGCCCCAAUGAGAACUAAUUCCUGGGCUCCGGAGCUGAUAUCUGGAAGAACUUACCAAUAAACUGGUUGCCUGCCAUUUAUCUAAGCCCUACCAUCUCCCCCUUAGUUCUAUAUAAGCACACAGCUUUUUGCAAGGUUAAUUAUGAUACUAUUAAUAUAUGUUCAUAUUUUCCAGGUAUACAAGUCUGUAAGGUAGAAGCUUCAAAAGACCAUUGUAUUAAGCUGGUGUUAUAAGGUUGUAUGGUAAUUUUAGGCUUAAAAGAAAAACAUGUUGGAGAUUUAUUUAUAUCAUUUGUGUUCUACAACUGGACUUGUUAUCAGUUCCAUGUUACUUUUUACACUGAGAUACAAUUUAAAUGUAUUUUUAAGUUAAUGAGAGCCUAAUCUGUGUAAAGGUUUUAUUGUAAAACACCAAAGUACUUUGCUACUCUUCUAUAAAAGGUUAGAAGUUUUCAGCCUUUAAUUCAUGUUUUAGAUGUGAUAUUAUGUUGUGUUAGUUAAUAUCAAUGUAAACUUGAGCAACAAUUUAUGUAGGCUUUGUAAAAUGAUGUCUAAAAAGCAAAGAUCAGCUUCAGAACUAUAAUAUUUAAGAUUUAUGAAGAGCCCCGCCUUACUUCAGAUAAGACUCUAUGUCCCACCUCAUGUGAAAGAGACUAUGAAAGUAGGCCAGAUUUCAGUACAUUUAAAGUUGUGUCCAAAAGUUGGUUUUUGCCAAGUUUACUAGGAUCUCAAACAGGGGAUUAUGAUGUAUAACCCUGCCAGAAUUCAAGGUAGCUAUUACAUAAACUAAAUAUGUCUUUACCCUAGUUAAUUUUAGUUUGUAGUUUGCUUAUAGAUGGUCUAAGGAUUGCCUGUUAAUGUUUUAAAGAGGUACUGCUUUAAGAACACACAACCUGGGUCAACUUAAGAUAAGGAGUUAUCAACUACAGGAUAGAGAGACAGACAUUAAAGCCCAGUGCUCUUAAUAUAAGGCUGUUAACUUAUUUGCUGGAUGUUUAAGAUUAAGUUUUAAAAUUAAAGUUAAAUUAAAAGGGCCAAGAAAACCAAUAUUUGGCUCUUUCCCUCUGAGUCAGUCUGAAUCAGGGAAUAGUGGACUUCUCCAAAGAGCUUUGCAACUCUAGGCCACAUAACCUCCCGGUCAGGGAGAUUAAUGAGACCAGUGGAGGACAGAAAGUCAAUCAGUGCAUUUGCUAUGAAGAGGAGGGUCAUCAGAGAAGGGAGAUAUCCCUGAUGCUUCUGAGGGAAGCUACAUGGUCAAGCAAGGCCUGGACCCAUCCUAGCGCAAAUGGCACUAGCGGAACUGAGAAGCUGCUGUAAGUUCCCCGAGGACUCCCAGGGAAACUCAGUGGACUGUUAACAAUAGAUAGAAACAAAAGUCAGUUUGACUUGCUUCAUCUUAAACACUUAGCAAAAACAGUCAAAGCCAAAGCACAGCUGUUCCUGGACAUUUUAAAUGAUAAUAAUAGUUAAAUGUAACUUCCAUAAAUAAGUAAACUGGAGGCUACAAAAGAGAUUCUCAGACAGGAAUGCCUGAUAACUAUUAAAAGGAACUGCCAGAGUAGUUUUUAGUUUAAGGACCACAGAUAUUCCUAACCUACACAGGUAGGCUUAAUGUUUGCUAGUAUGGUUAUCCAGCCCUAAGUAACAGAAUUAAAGAUUUCUCUAUUAGACACAGAGGUCAUACUAGUAAAAGGAUUUUGCAAGAUCAGAUGGCAUUAAAUUAUUAAACUGUAUCUUAAGGGAAAUGACAUCUGUAACCCUAAAUGUUAAUUGUUGUGUUUACAUCCCUGACAUUUCUGGCAAGGUGAAAAAUAUCCUUAAAGAUUUACAUGCUCAGAUGAAGCCAUGUACUCAGCAACUUUGUCAUGGAAACAAUAUCAGCUCCUGGUUCUUGGUACUUCUUGGUAGAAAACAUUGUUAGUCUUUGUCUUUGCCAUUAUACUCAUUGACAUAUUCCUGUGCUAUGGGAUUUAUUGUUGCAUCAAUCUGGUUCCAAAACUAAUGAAUUCUUGUUUCUCUUAUAGACCACCCAUCACUCAAAUGGCCCUCCAGCCUAUUACUUCUCAAUCGGACUUUUGUCAUGGACCACUCGAUAGACCCGAUUUUAAAGGGGGACUCCAAACUGCUUGCCCCACACCGUCCCUUUUCAGCCUGAAGAAGCCAGAAAGAUCCUCUUCGCCCCCCUUCCUUACAGCAGUGAGGAGUUCCCAAAUUAGAGGGGGGAAUGAAGCCAGAUUUAAAGUUAGGUAGUCAGUGUAGUUAGAUAAAUCGGGGUCUAAUACCGAGUAAAAUCUGAAAAGGAGGCCACGCUGAGAAUGAUUCCAGGGAACACAAAACAACUCAUGAAAUGUGAAACCCUUCAAUAAUUGUGAUUCAUUACUUUUAAGAUUAAAAGUAGUCAGAAAAAGGAGUGGGGAAUGUAAGGGUAAAAAAAAUUGAAGUUAAAGUGUAAAAUACCAGGUAUUGUAAAGUUUCUAAGCUGCAAGGACUGAGUUAAAAAAUAAAGGACCAGGUAUUGUUAAGUUCCUAUGCUACACACAAAACCUGAAAUUCCUGUAGCUGUUAGGACAAUACUGGAACUGCCCAGUAAAUAUUCCCCCUGACCAUCUGGUUGUUUAAUAACCUAGGACCCUGUGUGGCCUGGCACGUAGGCAUCGCAGGGCCUAAACCAAUCAGUUUGAAUGUACCUCCCUCCUUAGAACUCACCUAUCACUCCUGCCCAACCUGUUCCCGCCAAUGAAUGUGCUAAUCAAAUUUGAGAAUUGUUGUUUGAUUUUCCCACGGUGUAUAAUGAUUUGUUAAAGGAGACUGUGAUGUAUGUAAAGUCCCCGCCCUCCCCAAAAAGUGUACUUAAGCACUGCUCAACCCCUGCUCUGGGCUCUGGGCUGCUCUCCCUUCUUGAGCACGGAGCCCCAGCAUGCUGGAUUGGAUCCUCAAUAAACCCCAUUUGCUGUUGCAUGA